CCUACGGGUGGCAGCAGUGGGGAAUCUUGCACAAUGGGGGAAACUCUGAUGCAGCAACGCCGCGUGAGGGAAGACGGUUUUCGGAUUGUAAACCUCUGUUCUUAGUGAAGAAUAAUGACGGUAGUUAAGGAGCAAGCCAUGGCUAACUACGUGCAAGCAGCCGCGGUAAUACGUAGGUGGCAAGCGUUGUCCGGAUUUACUGGGUGUAAGGGGAGCGCAGGCGGGAAGCCAAGUCAGCUGUGAAAGCUACGGGCUUAACUUGUAGACUGCAGUUGAAACUGGUUUUCUUGAGUGAAGUAGAGGUUGGCGGAAUUCCGAGUGUAGCGGUGAAAUGCGUAGAUAUACGGAGGAACACCAGUGGCGAAGGCGGCCAACUGGGCUUUAACUGACGCUGAGGCUCGAAAGUGUGGGGAGCAAACAGGAUUAGAUACCCUAGUAGUC
This 441-nucleotide ribosomal RNA is filed under the name uncultured bacterium. RNAcentral's name for it is "partial 16S ribosomal RNA". It matches the Rfam family "Bacterial small subunit ribosomal RNA", at positions 338 to 795 of the family's 1533-position model. The record is from RNAcentral.